Molecule: long non-coding RNA, 806 nt
Organism: Acinonyx jubatus (cheetah)
Lineage: Eukaryota; Metazoa; Chordata; Mammalia; Carnivora; Felidae
Exons: 4
Source: RefSeq, a predicted model, not a curated record
CUUCCUUUCCUUUCUUUUGUUUAAGAAAAAUUGCCCUGAUAGUGUGCCUCAUACCAAACAAGUACUCAAAGUAAUCUCUUGAUUGGUUCACGAAUCCAAAUCUCUCAGUGCUUGGAGGAGUAUAGAUUUAGUUUGGGUGGCAGAGUCCUUGGUUUUCACCAUUGCCUGAUUUAAGGUCUAUGUUGGACUGUGGAUUCGUGUUGUUGCAGUGUUUCAGAGCAAGGUCAGGGAGGGGAACCUCAGUGUUUUCAUCAUAACUCCAUUUGAAUGUAUGCUCCCUUAUCUGUGGCUGUUAUUCCAACCAGUGGCAAGGACGUAAUUAAAGAGUCACGAAGAUUCAGGCAGGCUGAGUGUCCUGGCUUAACGGAAGGCCAAGCUCAGCUCCAAGAAGGCUAAGGAAAUAAGAGGAAGAAGAUACAGUUUCAGGUUAGGAAGAGUCCUCUCCUAGGGCCACCAAGAAAACACCUGGGAGAUUCCGUUCCAGCACCUUACAAUUUUUGCAACUGGUCAAAAGAAAGAGAGCUACCAUGCAGGAAUAAUUGGACCAUGCCUGGACAAGCACAAUGAGUUGGACGCAAGCCUUCAAUUCUAAUCUGGCAGCACACUUGUUGAUAAAUUGCAAAACGUCUCCUGGUUUCCAUGGAAAAAAAGGAAGGAUGAUGCUCAGCUGUGGAUAAUAUCAACAACAAUGGGAUGAACAAUUUUGAUGAAUGCAAACUGAAAGAAAAUCCAGCAUAUGAAAUUCACAUUUUGGUAUAUUUUUAUUUGCUACGUCUUUUCAGCUUUAAUAAACACAUGUCAAGAUA